GUGAAUCAUCGAAUUUUUGAACGCAAAUUGCGCCUCCUGGCAUCCCUGUAAGUAUUCCUGUGUGAGGGUCAGUAUUAACGAAAAAGCUGUUGGUUUGCAAAUUGUGACGUUUCCGGAGUUGGGGCUAUCUUAACUUUUUUGGUUAAGGGGCUUAAAAUUGACCUUUUUUGCGCAUUUUUAGACGUACAUAAAUUUUUUUUUUAUUCUUCUAUUCUUAAUUCCAAAAUCCUAUUAGAUGUGAUCAC
RNAcentral lists this unclassified non-coding RNA (245 nucleotides) under Glomeraceae sp. RNAcentral's name for it is "partial internal transcribed spacer 2". The stretch from base 1 to 71 matches the Rfam family "5.8S ribosomal RNA", at positions 84 to 154 of the family's 154-position model. Lineage: Eukaryota; Fungi; Glomeromycota; Glomeromycetes; Glomerales; Glomeraceae. The record is from RNAcentral.